CAUUGGUAGUUCCUACGUUAUCGACAUUAAUAUUUACAUACACUCUGGUCCGUUGUUUAUAUCGUUGUCCAUAUUAUUAUUCCAUUAUUUAUCCCAAUAAAUGAACAUUGAAUGCUUCGAAGUUACAGUUUAUUAAGCAUCAAUGGGUACAUUCGUUUUUUUUUCGAGCACGGAGGAAUACUUGUGUGCAGUGUUCUAUCACCUUGCAUUCUGACAAGUAGAAAGGGUUAUGGUUGAUUACAAUCAUUAGCAAAAAAUUUACUAAUGAUUUGCACCAGGAGAAGGUCCGCCGAUGUUGGCACAUGCCGAGUGAUUUCUCUCUUCGAGGGAGAAAUUGGCAAUCAGAUUAAAGUCAGAAGACCGACGAAGAUGAUUCAUAAACAUGCCCAAUUCGUAGGAAAUUCAUUUGUGCGGAAAUUGUCAAUGUAUUCGACGACAGCCUGAAUCGCAUCAGACUCCGCCACGCAACACAGCCUCGGCAUGAUAUGAUUCGUUUCUCGUACAUCUGUAAAUUAUGACUUUUUAGAAAAUUAUUUUAUGCCAUUUUCCCAACGAUAAAAUAUGAAUUUGAACAUUACCCAACUAUUUUUUUAAUGAACAUUGACACACCCCAUAACGAUGACGACAAACAACAAACAUCAACAAAAGCACAUGUGUUACCCGCACAACAAUAUUCAUUCCUUCAGUUUGCCAUUCUAAUCAGCGACUUAAUUUCUGUUCAGGUAUACUCUUCAAUGCAAUAAUGACAUGCUAUGAACUUUUCAUCCGGACUACGAAUAUUCAAAAAAUCCCAAUAUUUCCAAUACAGAAUAGAUGCUCAAUCGAAGAUUAUGAGAGGGUUAUCCUCGUAGUCUCCCACACCCGUGUCUAUAGAAAUGCUUGUGGGGGCUAUUCUCCAAUGAAAUAUUUUCGCAAAGAUUAUUCAGUGGAAGUGGGAACCCACACCACGAACCCGUCACACUUUUGGACGAAAUGGAAUGAAAUAUGAAUAUAUUGCGGACAUCAACCAAUUUUAUUUAUAGUGGAAAGAUCAAAAACAAUUCCAAAAGAUCUGUUCAAUGUGAAUCGAUGCUUCCAGGCCCCAUAGAUCAUUUCCUGUUAUCUCAGUGUCUGUCAUCGUUGAAUACAAAUAACAAAUUUCUGAAUAUUUCUUUGAAAAUUUAGUCAAUCAAUUAGGCAAAUUAAAAAUAAAAGAAAAAAAAAUUAUGCAAAUUGAGGUUAUGACGAACUUCGAAACUUUUAUUAGACGUAUCUGAAAGAAAAGUUAUGAAGUUCUCAGGUUAUGGACUAUAGUCUCGAAGAGAAUUUUAUGGAAUAUUGUAAUCAAGAGAAGAAAUUUGAUAGGAAUCAUGCUUGGAUAAUUGGAAUCCUUACAACACCUGGAGGAUAGGUAGUAGCAUUAAUAUACAGGAAUAUGGAAUGUGAAAAAUCGUAAUGAGCGGUGCUUUCGGUUACUACGGAUAAUGCAAAAUAAAUUUAUUAAAUAAUGAUAGCCCAAUUAAAUUCCCAUGCCAAUUCAAAUUUAUAUUAUUCUCAAAUAUGACUCAUAAGUGGAAAGGCCUCUAAGUAAGAUCACUCACAAAUGCAAAUUAUUCUUGAAAAUGAAGCCAUUAUCAAUGCAAAUAUUGAUAAAUAUUGUUGGCAGCCAUUAGUUAUCCAGAUGACCUGAAAAAUAAAGUUCCAAUAAGUAAUGCCCAACGACAGAUCUAUUUACAGAAUUAUUGAUGUCCUUACUUUUGACAUGAGAACGAAUUUCCAUCUGGUUGUUUUCCAAUUGAGCAUGGGAACUUCGGAUUGUGAUUCAUUUGGAUGAGAAACGUACGUACACUCCACAAUCCCUAAUAUUGAUUCCUCAAGUCGUUUUCGUCCAUUUAGCGAAUCAAGUAGCUAUCAAAAUUUACAUAAAUUGAUUAGUCAGGAAAUUUUUGGGAAAUGGAUUCUACAUUUAUGAAAGAACUUACUUGCAAAUUCCCAAUGGACUUUCCCUGAGAUACAAUUGUUUUGUUGUUUAACCUCAUUUCCUCUGUAACAAGUUGCACACUCUUGGUAGCACGAGGAAAAAAACAUCAUUGUAGAUAUUGAUUCAAAAACAAUUCAAAUACUCACCCGUGAGAAACAUAAUGUAGCAAAUAUUCAAGAUCAAAAUAUCGGCAACGAUUAACAAAUGAUAAUUACUAUUCGAGAAUAGAAAAGUCGACCAGCACGUGUAACACUGAAUAAUCACGAAUGGAGCAGCUUUGCUCCGCAGAAUAGCACAUCGUUCCAACUCUUGUAGCAUCUUUGUAUGGAAAAUAUGAAUUUCCUUAGAAUGAAAAUGAAUUUUUACUGAAUAAAUUUCAAUAUGAUAA
Long non-coding RNA from Diachasma alloeum, 2348 nucleotides. RefSeq lists it as uncharacterized. NCBI's taxonomy places the organism in Eukaryota, Metazoa, Arthropoda, Insecta, Hymenoptera, Braconidae. The record is from RefSeq and is a predicted model, not a curated record. The transcript is spliced from 2 exons.